Molecule: unclassified non-coding RNA, 235 nt
Filed under: Hevea brasiliensis (rubber tree)
Lineage: Eukaryota; Viridiplantae; Streptophyta; Magnoliopsida; Malpighiales; Euphorbiaceae
Source: RNAcentral
UGCAGAGAUAGCUUGCUGGAUGUACACCGGGGAGCGGCAGGUAGGGGAGCUGCGGCGGCGGUAUCUGGAGGCUGUGCUGCGGCAGGAUGUGGGGUUUUUCGAUACCGAUGCGAGAACUGGUGAUAUUGUCUUUAGUGUCUCGACUGAUACACUUCUUGUCCAGGAUGCCAUUAGUGAGAAGGUGGGGAAUUUUAUUCACUAUUUGUCGACGUUUCUCGCGGGGCUGGUGGUGGGG